CAUUAAAAUACCGGUUCCCAUAUGAUCACUGAAGUUAAGCAAUGUUGACCCUAGUCAGUAUCUAGAUGGGUGAUCUCUUGGGAAUACCAGGUGCUGUAAG
Non-coding RNA from Acanthosepion pharaonis, 100 nucleotides. Lineage: Eukaryota; Metazoa; Mollusca; Cephalopoda; Sepiida; Sepiidae. The record is from the annotation of a GenBank genome assembly.